AUGAGAGGUGAAACGUCUUCAAGCAACUCAAAGAAGUCCAGACGCUUUUCUUUGCAAACUCCUUUGACUACGAUGACCUGGAUGACUGAGAACCUUCACAGACAUAUUGCCGUACAUUUUGGGAGGAACACCCUUCAACUGGUACGGGAAUAUGAAAGGGAAUCAAGGAAACUGGCGGAUUAUAGGAACCACCUUCGUUUCAACCUAAGAUGCAGACAAAGCAGAGUUGUUCCUAAGAGCUUGCGCCUUGGAUCCACUGUCAGGGGACACAGAGCAGAUUUGAUUCUACAGAGAGCACAGAAUCACCUUCUAAGUGAAAGGAUAAGACAGGUCCAUUUCACUAUAGAUGCGCUCCAGAUCAAGAUCAGCCAGACUCUGCAGGAAUUGGAAACCCUUCUACCCUCUCCAAUCUUAGAAGAGGUUCACAAGUUUGUGGACAAGGCUCAGCGGGCCCAACACUCUCAAGGAAAAGAAAGACAACGCAGGAAAUUUCACACCUUGCUUUCAAAAACCCACACUCCUCAGUCUGAAACCACACAACUCAGAGAAGAAAACACACCUGAAGACAGUCGGGAGAAAUGGGUAAAGAACUUUUCAGACCGGAAUCUCACUGAACCUGAAAAGAAGGUUUUAGCCAAAGGACUCAAUUUCGCCAUUUCUCCGCAACAGUUGCCCAUAGUGGACCUCAUCACAGCCACAGAAACCGCCAUACGGAUUAAUAAAUUAUCACAGACCGAAGCAGAGCAAAUCAGGAUGAAAGUCUCAGCCACCCUCUCCAGUGCCAAAGUCCCUCCGUCUAACCUCACACUACAAGAAAAGAAGGCCGUUGCUUCCCUGAGCAAAGACCACAACAUCACUAUAUUACCAGCGGAUAAGGGAAGGUGCACCGUGGUCCUAAACACAACAGAUUACCACACGAAGAUCACUACUCUCCUCAGUGACAACAACACCUACGAAGCUUUAAAACGAGACCCCACAAGCAGCUACAAGAAGAAAGUUAUAGCUUGCCUUCAAGACCUUGAAAAGGACAAAAUCAUUGACCGCCUCACAUAUCACCGCCUUUAUCCAGGGGAUGCCAUACCCUGCAUUUAUGGACUUCCUAAGAUCCACAAGGAAGGGGUCCCACUCAGACCCAUAGUCAGUAGCAUAAACUCAGCCACUUAUAACAUUGCGAAACACCUUGCUACCAUCCUGGCACCUCUCGUGGGGAACACCCCACACCACAUCAAGAACUCCACCGACUUCACCGACAAGGUCCAGAAACUUACCCUGGAUCCAGAUGAAACCAUGGUGUCCUUUGAUGUAGUCUCUCUCUUCACUUGCAUACCCACCACGGAGGCAGUGGAGACUGUCAGAAAACGACUACAAGAAGACAGCUCCUUGGAAGACAGGACCAACUUCACACCCGAUCAGAUCUGCACACUGUUAGACCUCUGCCUUACCACAACAUACUUCAAAUACAACGAAGGCUUCUACAGACAAAAACAUGGCUGUGCCAUGGGCUCCCCUGUGUCACCUAUUGUAGCCAACCUUUACAUGGAAGAAGUGGAAAGAAAGGCUCUUGGCUCUUUUAAAGGGAGAGUACCCAGCCACUGGUACAGAUAUGUAGACGACACCUGGGUCAAAAUCAAGACACAAGAAUAUGGGCAGAAAUCUGUGCCAUCAGAAACUGAAUUUGAAUAA
Molecule: long non-coding RNA, 1683 nt
Filed under: Oreochromis niloticus (Nile tilapia)
Lineage: Eukaryota; Metazoa; Chordata; Actinopteri; Cichliformes; Cichlidae
Description: lncRNA (ENSONIG00000029876.1)
Source: RNAcentral